GAGUUUGAUCAUGGCUCAGGAUGAACGCCGGCGGCGUGCUUAACACAUGCAAGUCGAACGGACCUGGUUUUCAGCACAAAUUGCUUAUGCGACGGUAGCGUCGGCGGAUGUGAUUGGUAUCUCUGAGAAAAAACAUCGGCCUACGCGUUUAAAAGCGUGAUAAUACAUGAACACACGCGAGACGGAAAAGCAAUGAGUGAUUUGUGCUGGAAAUCAGGUUAGUGGCGGACGGGUGCGUAACACGUAGGUAACCUGCCCUGUGCUUCGGAAUAACUCCGGGAAACCGGUGCUAAUGCCGAAUAAUAUCGCCUGUCGGCAUCGAGAGGCGAUCAAAGAAUUUUGGCACAGGAUGGGCCUGCGCCGGAUUAGCUGGUUGGUGAGGUAACGGCUCACCAAGGCGACGAUCCGUAGCCGACCUGAGAUGG
Molecule: ribosomal RNA, 425 nt
Filed under: Peptostreptococcaceae bacterium canine oral taxon 135
Lineage: Bacteria; Bacillati; Bacillota; Clostridia; Peptostreptococcales; Peptostreptococcaceae
Description: bacterial SSU rRNA
Rfam family: Bacterial small subunit ribosomal RNA
Source: RNAcentral